This 401-nucleotide ribosomal RNA is filed under the name uncultured microorganism. Its description in RNAcentral is "bacterial SSU rRNA". It matches the Rfam family "Bacterial small subunit ribosomal RNA", at positions 9 to 407 of the family's 1533-position model. The record is from RNAcentral.
GAGUUUGAUCGUGGCUCAGAUUGAACGCUGGCGGCAUGCCUUACACAUGCAAGUCGAACGGCAGCAUGAUCUAGCUUGCUAGAUUGAUGGCGAGUGGCGAACGGGUGGGUAAUACAUCGGAACGUGCCCUGUAGUGGGGGAUAACUAGUCGAAAGAUUAGCUAAUACCGCAUACGACCUGAGGGUGAAAGUGGGGGACCGCAAGGCCUCAUGCUAUAGGAGCGGCCGAUGUCUGAUUAGCUAGUUGGUGGGGUAAAGGCCCACCAAGGCGACGAUCAGUAGCUGGUCUGAGAGGACGAUCAGCCACACUGGGACUGAGACACGGCCCAGACUCCUACGGGAGGCAGCAGUGGGGAAUUUUGGACAAUGGGCGAAAGCCUGAUCCAGCAUGCCGCGUGUGUG